GAUGAACGCUAGCUACAGGCUUAACACAUGCAAGUCGAGGGGCAGCAUGGUCUUAGCUUGCUAAGGCCGAUGGCGACCGGCGCACGGGUGAGUAACACGUAUCCAACCUGCCGUCUACUCUUGGACAGCCUUCUGAAAGGAAGAUGAAUACAAGAUGGCAUCAUGAGUCCACAUGUUCACAUGAUUAAAGGUAUUCCGGUAGACGAUGGGGAUGCGUUCCAUUAGAUAGUAGGCGGGGUAAUGGCCCACCUAGUCUUCGAUGGAUAGGGGUUCUGAGAGGAAGGUCCCCCACAUUGGAACUGAGACACGGUCCAAACUCCUACGGGAGGCAGCAGUGAGGAAUAUUGGUCAAUGGGCGAGAGCCUGAACCACCCAAGUAGCGUGAAGGAUGACUGCCCUAUGGGUUGUAAACUUCUUUUAUAAAGGAAUAAAGUCGGGUAUGCAUACCCCGUUUGCAUGUACUUUAUGAAUAAGGAUCGGCUAACUCCGUGCCAGCAGCCGCGGUAAUACGGAGGAUCCGAGCGUUAUCCGGAUUUAUUGGGUUUAAAGGGAGCGUAGAUGGAUGUUUAAGUCAGUUGUGAAAGUUUGCGGCUCAACCGUAAAAUUGCAGUUGAUACUGGAUAUCUUGAGUGCAGUUGAGGCAGGCGGAAUUCGUGGUGUAGCGGUGAAAUGCUUAGAUAUCACGAAGAACUCCGAUUGCGAAGGCAGCCUGCUAAGCUGCAACUGACAUUGAGGCUCGAAAGUGUGGGUAUCAAACAGGAUUAGAUACCUUGGUAGUCCACACGGUAAACGAUGAAUACUCGCUGUUUGCGAUAUACAGCAAGCGGCCAAGCGAAAGCGUUAAGUAUUCCACCUGGGGAGUACGCCGGCAACGGUGAAACUCAAAGGAAUUGACGGGGGCCCGCACAAGCGGAGGAACAUGUGGUUUAAUUCGAUGAUACGCGAGGAACCUUACCCGGGCUUAAAUUGCAGAUGAAUUACGGUGAAAGCCGUAAGCCGCAAGGCAUCUGUGAAGGUGCUGCAUGGUUGUCGUCAGCUCGUGCCGUGAGGUGUCGGCUUAAGUGCCAUAACGAGCGCAACCCUUGUUGUCAGUUACUAACAGGUUCCGCUGAGGACUCUGACAAGACUGCCAUCGUAAGAUGUGAGGAAGGUGGGGAUGACGUCAAAUCAGCACGGCCCUUACGUCCGGGGCUACACACGUGUUACAAUGGGGGGUACAGAGGGCCGCUACCACGCGAGUGGAUGCCAAUCCCCAAAACCUCUCUCAGUUCGGACUGGAGUCUGCAACCCGACUCCACGAAGCUGGAUUCGCUAGUAAUCGCGCAUCAGCCACGGCGCGGUGAAUACGUUCCCGGGCCU
Molecule: ribosomal RNA, 1359 nt
Filed under: uncultured bacterium
Lineage: Bacteria
Description: bacterial SSU rRNA
Rfam family: Bacterial small subunit ribosomal RNA
Source: RNAcentral